UCCUGACAUGCCUGAGGCUACUCUGUACAUGUACCUGUACAAGACAACUAUACAACCCCUCAUGGAGUACUGUUGCCCUAUUUGGGCUGGAGCUUCUGCCUGCCUUUUAUCUUUACUAGAUCGAGUGCAGAAGCGCUUUGUUAACCUGGAUGGAGAAGAGUUAGGAUCUACACUACAACCUCUUUCUCAACAAAGUGUUCCAGGCGUAUAGGGAUCGAAAGCUACACAAUUUUGAUUGCAUAUAGAUAGCAAGGGAUAACACCAUGUGCGCUUCGUGCAGCAAACCCAGAGAAAAUACUGGGUGCAAUUUACUCACAACUGUGAUUCACAUCAAGAAGUGUCGUGGCUUUCUGAACCCUUGAAAGAGUGUUCUGCACCAUUUGGUCCAGGAGAGCAGACAUGAUCAAUCACAAGCCAGUCCCAGAGCCCGGAUAGCUGGAUCGUCCCAACAGAUGAUGAGUCCUGUGAUGGUCCACUAAGCCACUCAGCUCCCAGGGAUUGUUUCACGUGUGCUCAGCGGACGUUCACUGGGUCAAAGGACCAUCGAGUCAGGUGGCUUCAAGGACAUAACGUUCAGUGUCAAGACCUUCUUGGGAAGCAUCAAAUGUGUGGACCUCCCACCAUCAGAUCAGAGACUAGAGAGCCAACCAUUGUCCUAAAGAGUGUGAUGGAGGUGACUUCAUAAGGACUGCAAGUUGCAAUGCCGUGACGUUUAUUUGGAAGUGUCAACUGGGGUGGACCUCCCUCCAUCAGACCAGUGACUUGGGAGAUCUGUUACUACCAACCAUUUCAGUCCACAAGCUGCCAUAAAAUGCAGCACAAUAUGCCUGAGGAGAAGGAAUAUUCCAUUCUAGUGCAAGGGAGGCCAUUGACUGUCUUUACUGCCACACAAUGCAAAGCAGCACUACAGCAGACUCGUCAGUCAAUCGACAGGAGAAUGGGAGAUUUUUGCAUUGAUCUACCCAAAUGUCAACUGUUCAUAUACAGCAAAGAAAUGACCCAACCUUUUGCGGAUAUGGUCAGUUUGUUCCGUAUGCUUCGGCUGGUGAUUGCUGCAGUUCAGCUGCCUGUCCACAGACUGGGACACGUCAAAGUAAGCUGUCACUAAGACACUAACCAGAGAUGAUUUGGACCAGAAAAUAGUCGGCAGAUGUGAUGGAUUCUGUGGUAUGUGUUUUCCUGAGGGAAGGAGAGACAUUUUAGGACUGGCAUACCUAUCAUGAUCCAGUGAAUUUCAGUUACUCUGAAGCCAAGAAUCUACGUUUGUGUGCCUGUUGAGAAGAAGUGGCUACCUUUGUAUUGGUACCACACCGUCCCAACGAUCCUUGUAGCUACUUGUGUAAUAUGGCCACCUCUACGACUAAAAACACCCCCUAUACUGUGCCUUCCUUUAGUUUGGUGAAGGAUGUGAUGUGAAUAGUGGCUUUGUAAUGGCUACCAGUGAUCCUUGCUACAUCAGCCUUCACUUUGACAUCCCUUAGCACAGUGGCCACUUAAAACCUUAUCAAAUGUAUGGUUGCACACUUUCAAUUUGACCACUCGGAAUCCAGUAUCUCACUCCACCCAUCUGCAGAGCUGCUCACUCUCCCGGAGUCUGCCAAGUCAAGCUCUGAUGGCCAAAUGUGUUUUUUCGAAGUUUGUUUUUUGCAUCAGAUUAUAUAUCAGAACUACAAAAUUGUAUUUAUUAUUUUCCUUAAGAGCUGACACCCGGGCCCAAUUUCAUAGAGCUGCUCAAGCAGAAAAUACUGAUAAACAACUGUCUGCUAAGCAGAAAUGAGCAGGAUACCAGGCACAAAUUUGACAUGGCAUGUUAGCCUUUAACCUUAUUUUGGUAAGCAUCGUUGUGUUUGCCUAGCUACUUGUGCUGAAGCAGCUCUACAAAUUGGCCCCGGUUUUGAGAAUAUCAAAGUGUAAAAGCAUGAUUCGUUGAAACGAGGACACUUCUGUUUGCAAGUGAAGAAUAUGUUUCUAAAAUCUGAAUCAAGAACUAUUUAUGCAUGUGAAAACAAAGGUGGAAUUAUCAAAAUUUCCAUAAUUCGACAGAAAUUAGUUCAGUCAAAAGUCCCCAGUUGUGUAUCAAUGUGUAUCUCAUGCAAAGGGUUUUAUAAUAAUAAUAAUAAUAAUUACAAAGUUUUAUCAAGCGCAAACAUAUCCACAAAAGUGCUCAUGGCGCUUUUACAAAGAAAACUCAACUAGAACUUUAAAAAAAAAAGCAAAAAAAGAAAAGCAGAGUAAAUCCAAAAGAACGGAUCUAUGGACACAGGUGUGUUUUGAGGGAGGUUUUGAAAGAGUGAAUAGAAGUGGAUGUUUUGAUGUGAAGAGG
This is a long non-coding RNA of Asterias rubens (European starfish), 2323 nucleotides long. RefSeq lists it as uncharacterized. The record is from RefSeq and is a predicted model, not a curated record. The transcript has 9 exons. NCBI's taxonomy places the organism in Eukaryota, Metazoa, Echinodermata, Asteroidea, Forcipulatida, Asteriidae.